UAUAUGGCGUUGAUUAGAAGUAGUAAUAAUUAUUAUAUCUUAAGAGAACUAUUGGAUGGUGUAAAAUAGUGUUAUAUGAUUAUGAACUUGUCUAUGAGCUUACUUGUUAGAAGCAGGUACGGGUAAUCCCGUUAUAAUGUCGAGUGAAAAGAUUUAGUUUAUCUAUUUCUUUUAAUAAGAGUGGUACCACGGAAAUUACGCUUUCGUCUCUUAA
This 214-nucleotide non-coding RNA is filed under the name Clostridium neonatale. Its description in RNAcentral is "T-box". It matches the Rfam family "T-box leader". From Rfam's summary of the family: Uncharged tRNA acts as the effector for transcription antitermination of genes in the T-box leader family. T-boxes are found upstream of many aminoacyl-tRNA synthetase genes and some amino acid biosynthetic genes usually in Gram-positive bacteria. The record is from RNAcentral. Lineage: Bacteria; Bacillati; Bacillota; Clostridia; Eubacteriales; Clostridiaceae.